Molecule: transfer RNA, 72 nt
Filed under: Eucalyptus grandis
Lineage: Eukaryota; Viridiplantae; Streptophyta; Magnoliopsida; Myrtales; Myrtaceae
Rfam family: tRNA
About the family: Transfer RNA (tRNA) molecules are approximately 80 nucleotides in length. Their secondary structure includes four short double-helical elements and three loops (D, anti-codon, and T loops).
Source: Rfam by way of RNAcentral
UCUUUUGUUGCUUAGUAGCAGAGUACUUAAUUGUUAACUAAUUGAUGGUAGGCUCGAAUCCUACUUGAGGGG